AAUAGAUACCCAGGUAGUCCACGCCGUAAACGGUGGGCGCUAGGUGUGGGGGACUUUCCACGUCCUCUGUGCCGCAGCUAACGCAUUAAGCGCCCCGCCUGGGGAGUACGGCCGCAAGGCUAAAACUCAAAGGAAUUGGCGGGGGGCCCGCACAAGCGGCGGAGCAUGUGGCUUAAUUCGACGCAACGCGAAGAACCUUACCAAGGCUUGACAUGCAGGGAAAUCUCGUAGAGAUACGGGGUCCGCAAGGGCUCUGCACAGGUGGUGCAUGGUUGUCGUCAGCUCGUGUCGUGAGAUGUUGGGUUAAGUCCCGCAACGAGCGCAACCCUUGUCCUAUGUUGCCAGCGAGUAAUGUCGGGGACUCAUAGGAGACUGCCGGGGUCAACUCGGAGGAAGGUGGGGAUGACGUCAAAUCAUCAUGCCCCUUAUGUCUUGGGCUGCACACAUGCUACAAUGGUCGGUACAAAGGGCUGCGAGACCGCAAGGUGGAGCGAAUCCCGAAAAAGCCGGCCUCAGUUCGGAUUGGGGUCUG
Molecule: ribosomal RNA, 532 nt
Filed under: uncultured bacterium
Lineage: Bacteria
Description: bacterial SSU rRNA
Rfam family: Bacterial small subunit ribosomal RNA
Source: RNAcentral